Molecule: long non-coding RNA, 5130 nt
Filed under: Sarcophilus harrisii (Tasmanian devil)
Lineage: Eukaryota; Metazoa; Chordata; Mammalia; Dasyuromorphia; Dasyuridae
Description: lncRNA (ENSSHAG00000022600.1)
Source: RNAcentral
UUCAUCUUUCCUUGCCUUUUUUUCUCACUUCCCACAGCAGAGGAAACUUGCCAGACAAGAAUAGGAAAGUCCCAACAUCACCACUUUCUGAUCAACUUUCCUUUCUUCUAGCCUCACAACAUUUUUCUCCCAUUCUAUCCCCACUUGAGACAAAAGUCUCAAAAAUCCUUUCAUAUUACCAGGAGGAAAGACAAACUUCAUUCUUUGGCUAGAAUGGAUUCACUUGGCAUUGUCCUAAUAAAUCUGCCUUUGAAGCUGACGAAUCAUGUAUGUAUUCAAUCUUUCCUUCUUUCCUCUUUAUCAAUUGCCAUGGAAUUUGUAAAGAGUACUUUGAACCAAGUCUUCCCUUACUUCCAGUCACCCUAACCCUCCCUCAUAGCUUGCAAUUUCACACCUUUAUAUUUAUUUCCUCUAUUUCAAGAACCCAAUCCCGUUGCUUUCAAGGUUCAUUUUAGAAUUUUCCUUGUAGAUUUGACUUUUGCAUCUGAAUAUCAGGACUGUCCUUUCUCAUUUGGAGCUGCCUUUAACUCCUUGAUCAAUUGCCUUGGCCAACAUGGGAAUGUUACUCUGAAACACAAUGCUUUCCUCUGCCUUUGACCUAAACCCUGCAGUGUUCCUGGAGAGCGCUUUCAUGACACCUGCUCAAAGUCAUGCUCUUUUUUUUCUCAGACACCUAAUGCUGUGCAGUUGGUUCCUUUUCUUUUCCAACUUUUUCUCUUUCUACCUUGUGGCCUUAAAUUCUACAGACAAAUGCUGCCAAAAUCCACACAGUUUCUGGUUUGCUGAUACCAGCCAAGGGCUCCUGGUGCUCUCAGCUACUGUUUCCCUCUACCUCAGCACCACUUGAUCAGUUCCCUGAAAAAGAUUCCAGGCAAGGCUUACAUGUAGCAGAUUUUCUCUGGCUCUUCCUGUACUCCCAACAAGUCUCGCCUAGCUAAAAAAAAUUAUUUGAGUUUCUCUGCCCUUUCUGAAUAGGGCACAGAGGCCAUUGCAUAUCUUCCCAAUGUUCUUCAGUGUUGACCUUUCAGUUCUGCAAACUGGGAAUUUGUAGAAACUCAGAUGCCUGCCCAUUAACCAAACAACCCUACUACACUACACACAAUUUUCAAGGUGCAAGUGGGCAAACACUCCACCUGAAGGACUCCAUAUAGCAUACGAGAGUGGUGGUCUCAUGAUAUUCAUGCUAGUUAGAGGCCGGCUCAGAAAUUUCUGCACAGACAAGGAGCAGUAGUCUCACCUGGUCUGGAUGAAGCAGGCUCUGUCAACUCUGUCUAUAUCUAAGGGGAAAAAAGCAGUAAACAUGCAAUAUGAUGUGCCUUGAAAAGCGAGAAAAGUCUCAGUAAGAAACCAAUAGGCUUCCUCAAUUACACUCAAAAUCUGACCUGUCCCACUCUUUCCCACACAAGGAACAGGAUUCUAUGUGUUCUCCAAACUCAUGUUCUAGCUGCUAAGAAAUCAGGACAGUCUAGAGAAAACUUCCUUAUAUGCCCCAUCAUCUCCCAAAUGGGGAUGGGAACAUUGGGAAUUUGGGUCCAUUUGAAGAAGACCAUGCUAUUUUUUAGUCAUUUCCUCCCAGAGGAUUUUGUUCAGAUGAGGAAUUAGCUAAUCUCAAGGUUAUUUUUGAUGUUUGCUAGAUCUACACUUUCCACCUUGUAAUAGCCCCCAAGAAUAGAAAUUGGUACAUUAUUUCUCUUCAUAGAUAAAAGCUGUUGAAUAAUGUCUACCUCCCAAUGAAACUGGCGAUGAACUUUUGAAAAUCCGCAUCAGAUUGCUACCUAAUCUAUGCCAAACAGUAAUUGGAUAGACACUUUAGAAGCAUAUUAGGGAUUAUCCAAUUAUUUUUCUAAGUGUUCACUUCAACAUUCUCUCUACUUUUAGAAUCCUUCGUUGGACUCCAGAAUAAAAGACUGAAUCGAUUUUGGUAGUGGGGGAUGGGUUCCUUUUCCUUCCCAUCUAUUUUUCUUUCUACCUAAUGACCUUAAAACUCUACAGACAACUGCUGCCAAAAUCUACCCAGUCCCUGGCUUGCUGAUAACAGUCUAGUCCUCCAGUUGGUCUCAGCUACUGUUUCCCUCUACCUCAGCACCACUCAAUCAGUUCUCCAAAAACGAUUCCUGUCAAGACUGACAUUUGCAGAUUCUCCCUGGCUCUUGCACUGCUCCCAACAUGUCUCACCUAGACAAAAAAUUGGAUUAGUUGCUCUACCCUCUCUGAAUAGGGCACAGAGGCUAUUUCCUGUCUUCACAAUGAGAUUCAAUGUUGACCCUUCAAUUCUACAAAUUGGGAAUUUGUAGAAACACAGCUGCUUACCCAUUAACCAAACAAUCAUACUACACCACACACAAUUUUCAGGUGCAACUGGGCAAACACUCCACCUGGAGGACUCAUGAUAUUGAUGAGAGAAAUGCAAAUUAAGAUAAUUCUUUGGUACCAGUAUACAUCUCUCAGGUUGGCUAAAAUGACAGCAAAAGAUAUGGAUGAAUGUUGCAGGGGGCUGUGGGGAAAACUAGGACACUAAUAAAUGGUAAGUGGAGUUGUAAAAUGAUCCAACCAUUCUGGAGAGCAAUUUAGAAUAAUGUCCAAAGGGCUAUCAAACUGUGCAUACCCUUUAAUCCAGCAGUGUUUCUACUGGUCUUGUAUCCUCAAGAGAUUCUAAAGAAGGGAAACGGACCUACAUGUGCAAAACUGUUUGUGGCAUCCCUUUAGGUACUGACAAGCAACUGGAAACAGAGUGGAUUCCUAUCAGAUGGAGAAUGUCUGAAUAAUUUAUAGUAUAAGAAUAUCUGGGAAUAUUAGUGUUCUGUAAGAAAAGAGCAGCAGAAUGAUUUCAGAGAUGGCUGGAGAAACUUACAUGAACUGAUGCUGAGAGAAGUGAAUAGAAUCAGGAAAACAUUGUACACAGCAAGUUUAUAUGAUGACAAUUCUAAUGGACAUGGCUCUUUUCAAGAAUGAAGUGAUUCAAGCCAGUUUCAAGGGUCUUGUAAUGAAGAAAGCAAUCUGCACACAGAGAGGAGACUGUAGGGACUUAGUGUGAAUGACAAAAGCAUUUUCACUUUUGUUGUUGUUUGAAUUUUGUAUUCUUUCUCAUUUUUUUUUCCUUUUUGAUCUGAUUUUUCUUGUGGAACAUGGUGAUUGUGGAAAUAUAUAUAGAAGAAUUGCAAAUAUUUAACAUAUAUUGAAUUAUUUGCCAUUCACAGGAGGGUGUAAGGGGAAAGGAGGGAAAAAUAUUAGAACACAUUUGUCAAGAGUAAAUGUUCAAAACUGUUUAUGCAUGUCUUGAAAACAAAAAGCUUUCAUAAUAAAAUAUGAUAAUUUAAAAAAAACAAUGAGGGCAGCAAGCUCAUCAUCCUUGGAAAAUAUUGAGGUGGCAAUAGUUUAAGCCCUUCAGAGAGAGGUUUUGGUGCCACAACUUGAAGCAGAAGGGAGGGAGAUACAGGUUGAAGAGCUCGGAUACUAUUCUGUAUUUGCAAGUUGAUAGCUCUGCCAGUCCAUUUCCACCUUCUCUGUUCUAUGGUUUCAGGGUUCUUGCUUUUCCCAGAAGGGGGAUAAUUGUCAGAGUUAUACUUCAUGCAGCAAACUUCUUCCGAGCUUGUAGGCUUUGACAUGACAAAGUACUUUGGAAAGCAUUUUGUCUCUGUUAUAGACCCAUUCUAAACAUUCAGAUCUCUGCUCAAAAAUGUUGACCUCUAAAGCAACAGGUCUCUACUAUGCUGUAACUAUAUCAAGGCUAAUCAGGUUCCAGACUAGAUCUCCUACAUCCAAAAAACCUUUGUCCCCAACUGAGAUGUUAAGAAAUUAUCCAUUUCUUACUUUCUCUGCUCUUUUCAAUACCCAUCUUUGCAGCAGACUUUGCAGCAGUCUUUGGACAAUACCACCCACAUUUGGAAGGUUUUUCCCCUUUCUUGCUCCUUUGAGAUAUGAAGAAAUUGCCUCUAAAUUGCUUCUGUUUUUUCAGAAUAACCAAAUUCACUUUUCAAGGUCACCUCCCUAACACUGAUGUGCUAUAUAAAGACAUCCCAUCUAAAACUUGAAUAAUGUUUGAAGAGUCAUGUGGGUCUUUCUUUGAGCAGCUCCUUCACUGAGUCAGUCAGUAGGUAAAGUCCAUGUACUGGUUAGUACUUCUCAGCUUCUUGUUUCAAAAGGUUCGAUCUGGCGAACGGUUCCCAAAUAUUCCUUCUCUGAGCUCCGAGUUGGCUCUAACCAGGACUGAUUCCUGCUCAUCAAGAGGCUGCCCAGUCAUUGUUUGGGGUGGGGGAAGGAGGAGCUCGAGGAAGGUUCUGGGAAGGGGAGGAGCAGCCAGUUUGCUGGUCUCGCAUCUGGUUGGGCGCCAUUUCUUGAGUCGGGGGCCACUGACAUCUCGAGGAACUCCGUCCGACUCUCUGGGAUUCUUCCCCAAGCGGGAGACUUCGAUGCUGAACUCAGCAGAUCAGCCCGUGAAAAGGUCCAUAGUCAGACACUAAGGAGCAGAUCUGGAGAAUCGACACUUGCCUUCCUGGACCUGGCAGCAGGGGAGGGCAAUGUGGAAAUGUUCGACAGCAGCCUGAAAGCAAAGAAAUUUCCAAGAAGAGAUCACAUAUAUUAGAGUUGCAGCAGCAGCAAAUUUCUUCAGUGCCAGAGAAAAUGAACAGAACCAAAGUAAAAGAAGAUGAAAUGGAAACUAAGAAAGAGUCAAGGCCUCCCAGGCGAAAAAUCCAACAAAUGUGGCAUGCCCUGGUGAAAAGAUUGCGCCCAAGGCGCAAUCAAGUGAGGCCAGAAGAGUUGAACGUAGAAGAGGGAAAAGAUAUAUCAAAUAUGCAUUACGGACAAAGAAAUUUAGUCAAGGUAAACUAAUAUAGUAUUGGUGGGGUUUCAGAAUGGUAGAUUAUCAUUACAAAUCACUAUAGCAGCAUCCUUGUGAAAUACCCGUAAUCAAUGUACCCCUCAUCUGUUUCUAACUUUCACCUUAUUGGAAUAAAAGAAAUGGAAUGUAGUGUGCAAACAAGUCAAAAGAAGAGAUUAUGUUUAUGUUCAAAGAACAUUUCUCAAAGCGUUCUUGUGGACAUGCAUGAAAUGCCUGAUAAGUGGAGACUGACUAAAUAAAUUCUAGAUUCCCAAUCAAAAAGAAACAAACUAGGAAUUAAAAUUAUUGAU